RNAcentral lists this long non-coding RNA (987 nucleotides) under Marmota monax (woodchuck). Lineage: Eukaryota; Metazoa; Chordata; Mammalia; Rodentia; Sciuridae. The record is from RNAcentral.
CUACAUUUCCCAAAUUCUUACCAAGUUGUUAAUAUCUGGUUUUAUUUUAGCUAUCCUCGUGGAUGUGAAUAGUACCUUAUUUUGAGUCUCACUGGCAGGUGAUGUUGGGCAUUUUUUUAUGUGCUCACUGGCCAGAAUAUCUGCUUUGGAGGAAGGUCUCUAGAGAAAGGUCUACUCAGAUGAUGUGUCCAUUUUUUGAACAUUGGCUGUCUUUGUGUUGGGUUCUGUUCUUUAUAUAUUCUGGAUAUAUCUUCUUUUAAGACAUGUUAUUUGCACAUAUUUUGUCCUUGUGUGUCAGUUGUCUUUCCACUUUUUUGACAAUAUACUUUGAACAAAAGUUGUUAACUUGAAGUUCAAUCUACACAUAUUGUUCUUUAUCUCUGUGCUCUUGGUGUCCUAUCCAAGAAGAGUUUGCCUAAUAUAGUCAAAAUUUACUCCUAUACCUUCAAAGAAAAUUCCCCUUUUAGCUCUUACAUACAUAUAGGUCUAUUUUGAGUUAGAUCUUGAUUUAAAUUUGGGUAAACUUUGUUCAUUGUGUGAGGGGUCAGGUGGAUAUCCAGUCACCCCAGCAUAUAACUGAGAAGACGUUUCCCCCUUGUUGAAUUGUCUUGACAUUCCUGUCAAACUAAGUAACUGCAAAGGUAAGGGCCAACUUCUGGACUCAGCUCUAUUACAGUGGCCUGCAGGUCAAUCUUUGUGCAGGUAUUACCCUGCUCAAUUAUUGUCACUUUUUAAUAAGGUUCACAGUUGGGAAAUGUGAGUUCUCCAACUUUGUUCUUUGAAGAUUGCUUUGGUAAAGUAAUUGGUUAUUCAAAUCCACAGUCUUAUCAAGUUAAUACUACUUGUGUAGAAUAAAAAUUAAGAUAAAAUGUUCCAAUAAAAAGUAGCCAAUGCAUUAUACAUAAGUUCUGAUUUUAAAAAUAACCUGUCAUUCACCCAAAAAAUAAAAAGAGAAAAGAAAUGCAGGAAAAACAUGCUGCUCUGGGC